CAAUACCCGUUUAUCCUGCGGGAGGCCACUGCUAUCGGAGUCCGACUAAGCCAUGCAAGUCGGCUGUCCAGCUUCGGCUGGAUGGCGGCGAACUGCUCAGUAACACGUCGCUAACCUACCCUAGGGUCCGGGAUAACCUCGGGAAACUGAGGCUAAUCCCGGAUAGGAAAAGGGUUCUGCAAUGACCCUUUUCUGAAAGCAGCUUUGCUGUGCCCUAGGAUGGGGCGGCGGCCCAUCAGGUUGUUGGUGGGGUAACGGCCCACCAAGCCUAAGACGGGUACGGGUCCUGAGAGGGAUAGCCCGGAGAAGGGACCUGAGACACUGUCCCUAGCCCUACGGGGUGCAGCAG
RNAcentral lists this ribosomal RNA (349 nucleotides) under Candidatus Woesearchaeota archaeon. RNAcentral describes it as "bacterial SSU rRNA". It matches the Rfam family "Archaeal small subunit ribosomal RNA", at positions 1 to 338 of the family's 1478-position model. Lineage: Archaea; Nanobdellati; Candidatus Woesearchaeota. The record is from RNAcentral.